RNAcentral lists this ribosomal RNA (347 nucleotides) under uncultured fungus. Its description in RNAcentral is "SSU rRNA". It matches the Rfam family "Eukaryotic small subunit ribosomal RNA", at positions 20 to 370 of the family's 1831-position model. Lineage: Eukaryota; Fungi. The record is from RNAcentral.
GUAGUCAUAUGCUUGUCUCAAAGAUUAAGCCAUGCAUGUCUAAGUAUAAGCAAUCUAUACAGUGAAACUGCGAAUGGCUCAUUAAAUCAGUUAUCGUUUAUUUGAUGGUACCUUACUACUUGGAUAACCGUGGUAAUUCUAGAGCUAAUACAUGCUAAAAACCCCGACUUCGGAAGGGGUGUAUUUAUUAGAUAAAAAACCAAUGCUCUUCGGGGCUCCUUGGUGAUUCAUAAUAACUUAACGAAUCGCAUGGCCUUGUGCCGGCGAUGGUUCAUUCAAAUUUCUGCCCUAUCAACUUUCGAUGGUAGGAUAGUGGCCUACCAUGGUUUCAACGGGUAACGGGGAAU